This 393-nucleotide transfer-messenger RNA is filed under the name pig gut metagenome. It matches the Rfam family "transfer-messenger RNA". From Rfam's summary of the family: Bacterial tmRNA, also known as 10Sa RNA or SsrA, is named for its dual tRNA and mRNA-like properties. The record is from RNAcentral.
GGGGCCGUAAUGGUUUUGACGGGGGAACGUCUGGCUUUGACUGCAGCAAGGUGGCGACUCACCGCCAAAAAACAAUAACUGACAACACUGUCAAACCUUGGAUGCUCGGUAACAACAACCGCGUCCUCGCUCGCGCCUAAUUCGCACCUGAAACAAGGUUCCGCUUGAUGCGGACGAGCACGUCCUACCCCGCGUUCGCGCCUUGGCGGGGAUAGGGCGCAACAAAAGGCGAUAAGGGCUCGUUCUAACGGAAGCGAGCCACGAAAACCUUACGUUGAGUCGUCGGGUCCACUUGUCUUGGUCCAGCCCGGCGACGAUUCGACCAAGGCUAAGCUGUAGACGUCAGGGAUGGAUGUCCUUCGGACCGGGGUUCGACUCCCCGCGACUCCACCA